CAAAUGGCACGGAGAGGGUAGGAAGUGGCAUUCGCACUUGUGCCACUCAACACAUGCUCUCUGCCCGAGGAUGCAUGAUUGGGUCCAUACAGCUUUGUGCCUUUUUCUGGUAAGAACUGAAGUCAAGCAGAGAGAAAACAUCUUAUUGGUAGAUGCAGAAUUUGGACAGUUCUAUGUGCACAUUUUGUGCAUGAUGCUGUUCACCAGUUAUCUCUCUUCAUCCGGUCUUUGUUCGGUGGGGGGAGAAGUCACAUCUCUGCAGUGAAAGGUAUGUUCUUGAGCACUAACGCAGGCCAAGAAAAGUACAUAUAAUGCAUGCAGGCUGGGAGAAACAUUUGUCUGGGAAUUCAUGAUGGGAAAGGUAGUGGCGAAGGUAGCAAGUGUCAUUCCCUUUGCUGGCAAUGGCACCUCUCGGAAGCUAAAGUAGCCAUCGUGUCGAUGAUCGAACUCUUCUAAUCGGUUGUUUAUGUCGUUCGACACGCACGCCCGGUAGGUGUUCGUCCGAUCGUCUCUGUGAAAAGGUAUGAAUCCGUAUUUUCAAAUAAUUCAUAUAUUGAGAUAUGAAUUCUUUAAUCUUAUAUCUUAUUAAAGUCAUAAUUCUUUAAUAUUUAAGGUUUUUAUCUUUUAUUUAUUAGUUGGAUAUCUCUAAAAUUGAUAUUUGAUGGUCGAUUCACAUCGAUAUGCACUGUUGAUAUAAUUAAUAAGGCGACAGUACGCAAGGAAAGGUUGGCUAUCGAGUCUCUUUAUGUAGUCCUUCAGAUCACGUGAAUGGAUAUGAUGCCAACACAAAGCUCAUUCUGUGAGCAAUAAAUGCUCCGACGCCCUCUCGAGGGACAAAAUAAUAGAAGACAUUACAUCAAACACUUGAUCGACACAUUGAGAAAUAGUGUUGUUUAGAUUUUGAUGUUACAUUUG
Long non-coding RNA from Musa acuminata AAA Group (dessert banana), 915 nucleotides. RefSeq lists it as uncharacterized. NCBI's taxonomy places the organism in Eukaryota, Viridiplantae, Streptophyta, Magnoliopsida, Zingiberales, Musaceae. The record is from RefSeq and is a predicted model, not a curated record. The transcript has 2 exons.